Molecule: ribosomal RNA, 466 nt
Filed under: uncultured bacterium
Lineage: Bacteria
Description: partial 16S ribosomal RNA
Rfam family: Bacterial small subunit ribosomal RNA
Source: RNAcentral
GAUGAACGCUGGCGGCGUGCUUAACACAUGCAAGUCGAACGAUGAAGCCCAGCUUGCUGGGUGGUCUAGUGGCGAACGGGUGAGUAACACGUGGGUAACCUGCCCUUUACUCUGGGAUAAGCCUGGGAAACUGGGUCUAAUACCGGAUAGGAGCGUCCUUUGCAUGCUGGUUGUUGGAGAGUUUUAUCUGUUUGGUAUGGACUCGCCGUAUAUCAGCUUGUUGGUGGGGAUGUGGUUCACCAGGGCGGCGGGGGGGAGCGGGUCUGAGGGGGUGACCGGCCACACUGAGACAGAGACAGGGCACAGACCCCUGCGGGGGGGAGCAGUGGGGAAUAGUGCACAAUGGGCGAACGUCUGAUGCAGCGACGGCGCGUGAGGGAUGAGGGCCUGCGGUUUGUAAACCUCUUGCAGUAGGGAAGAAGCGAAAGUGACGGUACCUGGAGAAGAAGCACCGGCUAACUACGUG